RNAcentral lists this transfer RNA (76 nucleotides) under Actinobacillus ureae. RNAcentral's name for it is "tRNA-Trp(cca)". It matches the Rfam family "tRNA". From Rfam's summary of the family: Transfer RNA (tRNA) molecules are approximately 80 nucleotides in length. The record is from RNAcentral. Lineage: Bacteria; Pseudomonadati; Pseudomonadota; Gammaproteobacteria; Pasteurellales; Pasteurellaceae.
AAGGGUGUAGCUCAACUGGUAGAGCAACGGUCUCCAAAAUCGCAUGUCAUUGGUUCUAGUCCAGUCACCCUUGCCA